GACCUCGGAUCAGGUAGGGAUACCGCUGAACUUAGC
This 36-nucleotide ribosomal RNA is filed under the name Cladonia amaurocraea. RNAcentral describes it as "partial 28S ribosomal RNA". Lineage: Eukaryota; Fungi; Ascomycota; Lecanoromycetes; Lecanorales; Cladoniaceae. The record is from RNAcentral.